GACUGUCUUCCUCAUUGGCGCCGUGCAGAGAGGCGGAAUGUUCAACUCCUAACUGCGGCGGAAGCGUGGGAGCCGCGCGGGCCGCUGUCGUCCCAACCCCCGCCGCCCUCGUCGCGCGCGGGGCCUCCGCGCCCCCGGCUGCUGCUCACGCCCCGCCCGGGAGCCAGGCAGAAAUACUCAGUGUCCUCAGUCACAGAAACAUCAUCCAGUUUUAUGGAGUAAUUCUUGAACCUCCCAACUAUGGCAUUGUCACAGAAUAUGCUUCUCUGGGAUCACUCUAUGAUUACAUUAACAGUAACAGAAGUGAGGAGAUGGAUAUGGAUCACAUUAUGACCUGGGCCACUGAUGUAGCCAAAGGAAUGCAUUAUUUACAUAUGGAGGCUCCUGUCAAGGUGAUUCACAGAGACCUCAAGUCAAGAAACGUUGUUAUAGCUGCUGAUGGAGUAUUGAAGAUCUGUGACUUUGGUGCCUCUCGGUUCCAUAACCAUACAACACACAUGUCCUUGGUUGGAACUUUCCCAUGGAUGGCUCCAGAAGUUAUCCAAAGUCUCCCUGUGUCAGAAACUUGUGACACAUAUUCCUAUG
Molecule: small RNA, 585 nt
Filed under: Pan troglodytes (chimpanzee)
Lineage: Eukaryota; Metazoa; Chordata; Mammalia; Primates; Hominidae
Description: processed transcript
Source: RNAcentral